GACGAACGCUGGCGGCGUGCUUAACACAUGCAAGUCGAACGGAAAGGCCCUGCUUUUGUGGGGUGCUCGAGUGGCGAACGGGUGAGUAACACGUGAGUAACCUGCCCUUGACUUUGGGAUAACUUCAGGAAACUGGGGCUCAUACCGGAUAGGAGCUCUUGCUGCACGGUGGGGGUUGGUAAGUUUCGGCGGUUGGGGAGGGACUCGCGGCUUAUCAGCUUCUUGGUGGGGUAGUGGCUUACCAAGGCUUUGACGGGUAGCCGGCCUGAGAGGGUGACCGGCCACAUUGGGACUGAGAUACGGCCCAGACUCCUACGGGAGGCAGCAGUGGGGAAUAUUGCACAAUGGGCGGAAGCCUGAUGCAGCAACGCCGCGUGCGGGAUGACGGCCUUCGGGUUGUAAACCGCUUUCGCCUGUGACGAAGCGUGAGUGACGGUAAUGGGUAAAGAAGCACCGGCUAACUACGUG
Molecule: ribosomal RNA, 468 nt
Filed under: uncultured bacterium
Lineage: Bacteria
Description: partial 16S ribosomal RNA
Rfam family: Bacterial small subunit ribosomal RNA
Source: RNAcentral